GUGAAUCAUCGAAUUUUUGAACGCAAAUUGCGCUUCCUGGUAUCCCGGGAGUAUGCCCGGUUGAGGGGUAGUAUUUAAAAAAAAUCGGUUUGGUUGCAAAUUGUGACGUUUCCGGAGGUUGGGCUUAUCUUAACUUUUUUGGGUAAGGGGCUUAAAAUUGACCUUUUUUGCGCAUUUUUUGACGUACAUAAAUUUUUUUUUUUUUGUCUAUUCUUAAUUCCAAAAAUUUAUUAGAUUCGAUCACAU
Molecule: unclassified non-coding RNA, 246 nt
Filed under: Glomeraceae sp.
Lineage: Eukaryota; Fungi; Glomeromycota; Glomeromycetes; Glomerales; Glomeraceae
Description: partial internal transcribed spacer 2
Rfam family: 5.8S ribosomal RNA (bases 1-70)
Source: RNAcentral